Molecule: ribosomal RNA, 209 nt
Filed under: uncultured bacterium
Lineage: Bacteria
Description: partial 16S ribosomal RNA
Rfam family: Bacterial small subunit ribosomal RNA
Source: RNAcentral
UACGUAGGUGGUUUAUUAAGUCAGAUGUGAAAAGCCCUGGGCUUAACCUGGGAACUGCAUUUGAUACUGGUAAACUAGAGUAUGGUAGAGGGGGGUAGAAUUCCUAGUGUAGCGGUGAAAUGCGUAGAUAUUAGGAGGAAUACCAGUGGCGAAGGCGGCCCCCCUGGGCCUAUACUGACACUGAGGUACGAAAGCGUGGGUAGCGAACA